Molecule: ribosomal RNA, 506 nt
Filed under: Malassezia globosa
Lineage: Eukaryota; Fungi; Basidiomycota; Malasseziomycetes; Malasseziales; Malasseziaceae
Description: partial large subunit ribosomal RNA
Rfam family: Eukaryotic large subunit ribosomal RNA
Source: RNAcentral
CUCAAAUUUGAAGCUGGCACCUCCGGUGUCCGCGUUGUAAUCUCGAGACGUGUUUUCCGUGCGGCUCUAUGGACAAGUCCCUUGGAAUAGGGCAUCGUAGAGGGUGAGAAUCCCGUACUUGCCAUGGAAGAACCGUGCUUUGCGAUACACGCUCUAAGAGUCGAGUUGUUUGGGAUUGCAGCUCAAAAUGGGUGGUAGACUCCAUCUAAAGCUAAAUAUCGGGGAGAGACCGAUAGCGAACAAGUACCGUGAGGGAAAGAUGAAAAGCACUUUGGAAAGAGAGUUAAAAGUACGUGAAAUUGUCGAAAGGGAAGCACUUGAAGUCAGCCAUGCUGCUUGAGACUCAGCCUGGCCUUUGGGCUUGGUGUAUUUCUCGGUGGCAAGCCAGCAUUGGUUUGGGUCGUCGGAGAAGCGCAUAGGGAAUGUAGCGUCUCCGGACGUGUUAUAGCCUUAUGCAGGAUACGACGACCUGGAUCAAGGAACGCAGUGUGCCCUCUGGGCGGGUC